RNAcentral lists this ribosomal RNA (429 nucleotides) under Bacteroidota bacterium. RNAcentral describes it as "Bacteroidetes bacterium partial 16S ribosomal RNA". It matches the Rfam family "Bacterial small subunit ribosomal RNA", at positions 355 to 776 of the family's 1533-position model. The record is from RNAcentral. Lineage: Bacteria; Pseudomonadati; Bacteroidota.
UAGGGAAUCUUCCGCAAUGGACGCAAGUCUGACGGAGCAACGCCGCGUGAGUGAAGAAGGAUUUCGGUUCGUAAAACUCUGUUGUUAGAGAAGAACAGCGCAUAGAGUAACUGUUAUGCGUGUGACGGUAUCUAACCAGAAAGCCACGGCUAACUACGUGCCAGCAGCCGCGGUAAUACGUAGGUGGCAAGCGUUGUCCGGAUUUAUUGGGCGUAAAGCGAGCGCAGGCGGUCAAUUAAGUCUGAUGUGAAAGCCCCCGGCUAAACCGGGGAGGGUCAUUGGAAACUGGUUGACUUGAGUGCAGAAGAGGAGAGGGGAAUUCCAUGUGUAGCGGUGAAAUGCGUAGAUAUAUGGAGGAACACCAGUGGCGAAGGCGACUCUCUGGUCGGUAACUGACGUUGAGGCUCGAAAGCGUGGGUAGCAAACAGG